AGAGUUUGAUCAUGGCUCAGGACGAACGCUGGCGGCGUGCUUAACACAUGCAAGUCGCGCGAUUCUCGAAGUUCGGGGUUGGGAGUUCGAACCUCGAACUUCGAACCUCGAACUUCGAGAAUAGCGGCGGACGGGUGAGUAACACGUGGAUAACCUACCCAUUAGACCAGGAUAACACCGGGAAACUGGUGCUAAUACCGGAUAAGCUCUUUAGAGUAAAAGCCUUAAAGAGGAAAGGGGAAACUCACUAAUGGAUGGGUCCGCGUCCUAUUAGCUAGUUGGUAGGGUAACGGCCUACCAAGGCGACGAUGGGUAGCCGGCCUGAGAGGGUGACCGGCCACACUGGGACUGAGACACGGCCCAGACUCCUACGGGAGGCAGCAGUGGGGAAUAUUCCGCAAUGGGGGAAACCCUGACGGCGCUAUGCCGCGUGAGUGAAGAAGGCCUUUGGGUCGUAAAACUCUGUCUUGAGGGACGAAAAAAAUGACGGUACCUCAAAAGAAAGCCCCGGCUAACUACGUGCCAGCA
RNAcentral lists this ribosomal RNA (528 nucleotides) under uncultured bacterium. Its description in RNAcentral is "bacterial SSU rRNA". It matches the Rfam family "Bacterial small subunit ribosomal RNA", at positions 8 to 513 of the family's 1533-position model. The record is from RNAcentral.